RNAcentral lists this ribosomal RNA (251 nucleotides) under uncultured Atopobium sp. Its description in RNAcentral is "partial 16S ribosomal RNA". It matches the Rfam family "Bacterial small subunit ribosomal RNA", at positions 100 to 355 of the family's 1533-position model. Lineage: Bacteria; Bacillati; Actinomycetota; Coriobacteriia; Coriobacteriales; Atopobiaceae. The record is from RNAcentral.
CGUGAGUAACACGUGGGCAACCUGCCCUUUGCACUGGGAUAGCCUCGGGAAACCGAGGUUAAUACCGGAUACUCCAUAUUUGUCGCAUGGCGAAUAUGGGAAAGCUCCGGCGGCAAAGGAUGGGCCCGCGGCCUGUUAGCUAGUUGGUGGGGUAGUGGCCUACCAAGGCAAUGAUGGGUAGCCGGGUUGAGAGACCGACCGGCCAGAUUGGGACUGAGACACGGCCCAGACUCCUACGGGAGGCAGCAGCC